This is a long non-coding RNA of Rhagoletis pomonella (apple maggot), 2484 nucleotides long. RefSeq lists it as uncharacterized. The record is from RefSeq and is a predicted model, not a curated record. NCBI's taxonomy places the organism in Eukaryota, Metazoa, Arthropoda, Insecta, Diptera, Tephritidae. The transcript has 2 exons.
UUAAAAUUUUAUGUAUCAUUCAAACGAAAAUUAAAAAUCAAUCAGAAAUACUAAAUAUGUAUGUACAUUAGGGUACUCGUACUUUUCGACCGUACGCUCCAAACUUUUCAGCAUAACGAAUGCCACACUGAUUGGCCUAAAGCUUUUUGCCAGCGCAUAGUUAUCCUUUCUCGGUUUAGAAAUUAAAACUACCCUGCCUUUCCUCCAAAUUGUGAGAACGUGGCCAAAUUGCAGACAGGUCCUAACAACUUUUAUUAGAGCUCCUAUAAGUCUAUCUCGCCCACACUUUCGGAUAUGCAUCGGAUACACACCAACUGGGCUCGGUGACAUAAAAUCUUCAAAAGAGGCCAAAGAAAACAUCAAUGACUCCUCAGUCACCACCCUUGAUGCUAUAUACUAGGUUGGUCUGGUGACUCCUCCCGUCGCGCUAUCCCUCUAAGUAUCUCUGCGUCAGCAAUUAAUCUGCUAACCGGCAAAUUUUUUUUCCUAGUUUUCUGAGUGAAUCCAGCCAACCAUCCGGUCGUCUGUCAGAGACCUUUUCAUGUUGUCGAUAUCACUACAGAAGUCUAUAAUAGCUCAAUGUUAACGUGCGAAUUUGCCUCUUUAAUGCCUUAUUCAGAAAACUCCUAGACCUUUUACGGAGUUUGGUAAAUUCAGCGUUCCACCAUGGGACCGCUUUGUUGUUAUUGUAGCAGCAUACAAAUUCCCCAAAGACUUUUUGGGGAGUGUUGCUGGAGUGACAGUCCUUGGCCAGAUAUAAAUCUGGGUCGUUCCGGUUACGUAGACCCGACUGUCGUGGGAACGAUGGGACCGCUUCUUCCUGCCUGCUUCUUCUUAGCUGACAUACAAAUUUUCUCAGAACAACAAAUCAAAGUACUCGUUACCUUGGGCGUCGCCUCUACAAUUGAUUUAAGGUUUUUGAGGAUUCCGAGCUUUUUGCACUUGGCAAGUAUCAUACAUACUUGUGUGUGAUACUAAGUUUAAAACGAAACAUUUUAACAAAACAAACGCCCUUAUAUUCAUCGCUGAGAAGGUAAUUUCGGGCUUCAACAACUUUCAGACAAGCUCCUGUGCUGGUUGCCUCAACCACGAGCGUCGGUUUUGACGGAUUAUCUGAGAAAGCAGUUUUAUGGUGCAAUACUUGAUCCAGCAGCAGGUUAGCAACCUGGCCUUAUGCACAUUCGACACAAGCACACUAGGCGCUGUUCGUAUAACUAUUGCUGAGAAGCAAAGGAUGCUCGUUAGCAUUGGGUUGGCCCCACUUUGUUUCACUUUUGCUAGGGGAAUUAGCCUUUGGACUCCGCGUAGCAGAGUGUGAUUGGCAAUUUUUUACAAUAAUCCGAGUGUGCCGUGGCUCUAGUCGAAGAGGAUGUUAUUGCUUUUGUCGGCUCUGUUUUGAGGAUUGCUUCAUAUAAGUAGUGUUGUCGUUUUCAGCUUCGUAUCCAUAAUUGGUUAGUGGUGGUCAAACAGUGUCGUCCGUAUAGGCAGACACGCCGUACCUGGGUAAGGGUUACGGUGCGUUCAGAAAUGCAUCAAGCCAAAGCAGGAGUCUCUUUAAUUUCUAAACUAUAUUUGAUUGAAAUGUCCAAUAUGCGCCACCACGGUUAAAUACCGAGUUGGAACUCAGUUGCAGAUACUGAUGCUUUGGCUUGAUGCAUUUCUGAACACAGCCUUAUUAAUUCUGUGACUAGGCCUUAGAAAGUUCACAACCAGGUUUAUGUUUUACACGGGUCAUCCGGCUUUGAAAGUGCAAAGGUAAUUGGUUUGGGCAAAUAUUUACGGUUAGAUGGAUGCGUAAGGCUUGGUAGGUUAAUAAAGCGCAGGAAUUCAUGAAUGCCUCCUUCGCUUUGGUCCGCUAGACAGACAAAGAAGUGACGGUGAAAUGAGCGUCUUCUUGCCCACGAUAGGGCAGGUCUACGGACAGAAAGUUUUGGAGUGUUUCCAGGGCUUUAGUGAACGUGGAUGGCAGCGCUCUUGGUGAGUUUAGAAUUAGUGGGCGGCUUAUCCAGUGAUGGCAGUGACGUCGUAGAAUAAUGUAGGAUAUACGACUGCUGUGUUUAUUCAGUGCACUAUACGUUUCAUGCCUAUACUAGUCGUUUUGCAUGCGUAAAGGGCGGCCUAAAUUUAAAAUAUGUGGUCCCAAUUUUUGGAAAUGUAUACCUUUCGCGUGCGUGAGUAAAUGACGUGAAAUUUUGUAUUUAUGACUUCUACUAUUCCCUUUCUAAGCACACCCAGUUUUUGUAUAUUAACUGUCACCAUGACUUUUUCUCUACCUGCCACCAUAUAGUCGAAAGACUGCCCGAUAUAGUGUAAUCUAUUCAAUAUCUGCAAACCUAGGUAAAUUUAAUAAUUUAAGUUUUUAAUUUGAACUCCCAGUGUAUAUAAUUUAAUUUGCGCUUUUCAUUCGUACUCCAAGUAGAUAACCAUCCCCAUAUGAACACAGCUACAAAAAAUAAUACAUACUGGUUUACUUCGGUAUUAAAA